RNAcentral lists this long non-coding RNA (1048 nucleotides) under Vulpes vulpes (red fox). RNAcentral's name for it is "lncRNA (ENSVVUG00000004398.1)". The record is from RNAcentral. Lineage: Eukaryota; Metazoa; Chordata; Mammalia; Carnivora; Canidae.
AAUAAAUAAAUAAAUCUUUUAAAAAAGACUUUCAUCAUGUCACAUUAAAGACAUUAAUAGUGUAAAGAGCUUGGCAGGAAUGUGGGAGGGAAACAGCACGGGGUUUAAGGACUCUUCUGUUACUCAGCACCAAGUCCAUUGACAUCUGGAGCCUCAACUUCCUAAUUUUUAUAAGGUAGGAGACAUGGCAACACAAUGAUACUAUGAUGGAUAAAAUAUCCUAACCCAUUGAGAUGUUUGUUUAAAAUAAAUGAGAUUAUAUGUGUGAAAUACUUUCUAAGUUCUAAAAAGCAUAAGUUAUUACUGUCUAGUAUAGGCGUUGGCAAACGUUUUCUUGAAAGGAAUAGAAGGUAACUAUUUUCAGUUUUUCUGGCUUUAAUGGUCUCUGUUGCAGCUACUCAACUCUACCAUUGCAGUUCAAAUGCAGCCAUAGAUAUCACAUAAACCAAUGAGCAUAGCUGUAUUCCAAUAAAACUUUGUUUAUAAAAACAGACAAUGAUCUUUAUUUGGCCCACAGGCUGUAAUAUGCUGACUCCCUGUCUAGAAUGAGUGUGGAAAGACACAACCUCUCUCUUCCCUUUUCCUUCUGAAAUCUCUUCCAAAUGCAGUGCUGAGGAGGACAUCCAGUCAUUUAUUGAGAUUCUUGACUCACAGACUACAAAGUCUCUGGAUGGGUUGAGUUACUUGUCAGCCCAGUUCUUUAAAAAAUACAACUGCUUUCCUGCUUUCUACCCCAGGGUCCCAUCUCUUUGGGUGGAGCUUCUCCUGCUGCUGCCACACUCAUCUAUCCAUAAAACUGCUCCCCUGUUCUCUGGGGCAUAUCAUGAACCAUGAUGAAGGCACAGAGUUAGAAAAAAGAGGAAGGUGUGCUGCAGAGGUGCGUCAGGAGAGAGAAGAUUGGAGGGACCAAAGCAGAGUUCUGUCUGCAGGAAUGUGCCUCUGCCUCUUGGCCUACCAACUGUCUCAUCAACCAGUGCACUUAUAUGCAAAGGGCCAUUUGACACCUACGUUAAGUCCUGAGGUGCUCAGGCCUGGAAAUUUGGGCUAA